AAGCCUGAUCUAGCCAUGCCGCGUGAGUGAAGAAGGCCUUAGGGUCGUAAAACUCUUUCGCCAGAGAUGAUAAUCACAGUAUCUGGUAAAGAAACCCCGGCUAACUCCGUGCCAGCAGCCGCGGUAAUACGGAGGGGGUUAGCGUUGUUCGGAAUUACUGGGCGUAAAGCGCACGUAGGCGGACUGGAAAGUUGGGGGUGAAAUCCCGGGGCUCAACCUCGGAACUGCCUCCAAAACUAUCAGUCUAGAGUUCGAGAGAGGUGAGUGGAAUUCCAAGUGUAGAGGUGAAAUUCGUAGAUAUUUGGAGGAACACCAGUGGCGAAGGCGGCUCACUGGCUCGAUACUGACGCUGAGGUGCGAAAGUGUGGGGAGCAAACAGGAUUAGAUACCCUGGUAGUCCACACCGUAAACGAUGAAUGCCAGUCGUCGGGGAGCUUGCUCUUCGGUGACACACCUAACGGAUUAAGCAUUCCGCCUGGGGAGUACGGUCGCAAGAUUAAAACUCAAAGGAAUUGACGGGGGCCCGCACAAGCGGUGGAGCAUGUGGUUUAAUUCGAAGC
This 560-nucleotide ribosomal RNA is filed under the name uncultured marine bacterium. Its description in RNAcentral is "bacterial SSU rRNA". It matches the Rfam family "Bacterial small subunit ribosomal RNA", at positions 379 to 957 of the family's 1533-position model. The record is from RNAcentral.